ACUGUCCUUAAUCCCACACUUUCCAAAUUCCAAACCUGUCAAAAAAAAGUUUAAAUUCUUCUUCUUCUUUACUGUCCCAAAAUCUCUCUCGUCCUUUUUCUCUCUCUCACGAACUCUCCUCUUCUUCUUCUUUUCAUUCUUCUUCUUCCUUCCUCCUUUUCAAUCUGACUUUUUUUGAUUUUGUUCUUUCAGAAAGUAUGUAAUCGCUAUUCGAGUGGGUAAAUCAACGAUUUGGUUACUUCAAACGGUAGGACAGGGAAUCCAUCCAUCAAUUUGGGAAUUUCUACUCAGUUCUAUGAUGCCAAGAGUAAAUUUGAGGAAAGAGAGGAGAUAAGGCAGCGUAGAAGGUUGAAGCUGUUUUGCUGCUUUUGGGAUACCCGUGAUUUGGUGGGUCGACAUGAUUUAUGUGAAAGGGGAAAAGGUGUGGUGAUGUUGGCUCACGCGGAAGGGGAAGAUUCGUCGGCGGUGGUUUUGAUGCAAGCUUGGCAACGGUCGUUGAUUUUGGUCUUUCGAUGUCAGGGUCAUGUACUACUCUUUCAAACAUUGUUUCUAAUAUAGAGAUUAUUGAAAUUCUAUUUUAUUUAUGGAUUACUACUGUGAAUCCAGCAUAUGCAACUCGGUUUCUUUGAAAUCUGGAAAGAAAGUUGCUGAUUCCGUUUGCUGCCGAUCAUGGGAAACUGGACUAAGCAGCCGAUUGCUAUAUCAAAACAUGAACUCGAAGGUCACAACUUUUAAUUGUUCAUGAAUUAUACUUCUCUAUAUUUCGAUUUCUAACAAAUUGGGAUAUCUAAAUAAUGGUCUUCCACAAGACAGAGCAACACCUUGGUUUGACAAGAGCUUCUUGAUUAUUGCCUUGCUGAACUGGGAGGGAAAGUGGUGUAUGGUGGCAUUGUUACUGAUCCAUUGGCUGUAGAAAGAAAUAUUGUUGUCCAUGGACAGAUAAUUCUGCAACUGUUAGCAGACUCUUUGCAACACCCUAUUACCUUCAAUCAACGUCAACGACUUUGUUGAUGAAUCUGUCAAAGAAUUCUAUUGCACUUCAGCUUUCAUCGUUGGCACACCUGAACAUGUGGGAGUUUUGCUGGAACACCACCCAAGAAGAUGGUUGUUGAUGUUGUGUUUAUGGCUACUAUCAACAUGGUUUGGCACUUUGAUAUUGUGUGGUGCUGCAUAUCUCUCAACAAAAUUCUCAUUCUUCCGUAGCUACCCUCAUUUGUCUAUAGAGACAUGUCAAAAAAUAUUGCAGGGAUGGUCUCAAAGUUAUUUUCGUCUCCUUAGGAUGCUUUUCACAACCAUAAAGCUUCUCACUCUAUUCGUUUUCUUCACUCAGGUAGGACGAAGAGGAAUCAUCCAGCAACAAAGCGGUUCCGCGACAUGGAACAAUUGUCUGGUGGUGAAAAGACUGUUGCUGCACUUGCAUUGCUAUUCUCCAUCCAUAGCCAUACUUCAAGCUGUGGUUGGAAGUCAAGCUAUCAUCACCGGAACUUUCUUGAUAAUCAAACAAUGUUCCUCUUUAGGAUGCUUCCCAAGAGUCAAAAUCGUUCAUACAUCGUCCGCAAUACCGCUUUCGGUGUCAAUGCGGUAAUUCUCUUCCCGGAAAUGGUUUUCAAACUGAACAUGGUGCGGUAAUUCUCUUUCCGGAAAUGGUUUUUAAACUGAACAUGGUUUGUGUAAUGUAAUAGUUCCUUAGCUGCUUAUGGAGCGUAUGUGCAUCCUAUGCCAUAUUCGAACGAGAUUGGUUUGCGAAUGCUUAUAGGCGGGGUUGUCAGGGAGGCUGCUGUGUUGGGGUAUCACGAGGGGACAGAAGUUAGAAUGAAUUUCACUUGAGAUUCACACUCUUAUUAUAUGAGAAUGGCAUUGGAGACAAUUCAGCAAAAAGAGAUGCAAUUCAGGUGAACUUUGGAUUGUCAAGGCCCACAUCCCCUGGAAAAGAGAGAGUUAGCACCGGUAUAUAUUAGCAAUAGUAUUCUGUUAAGGUUCUGUUAAUAGUAUCGAUGGAGCUUGCUGAUUCCGUUUGCUGCCGAGUAUGAUGGCGAUGGUUCAAAAUUCGCAAGUUGUUGUGAGUUGUUGAAGAAGGUAUGUGUAACAUUUUUUUUCUGCAGAUGUUGAAAUUUCGAGAUCGCGUCGGAGUUGGUGAUGUGCGAUCUGAUGUUGUUAUUUGAAGAUGCUGCUAAUUAAUAUAAAUAUGCAGAUUUGGAAAAUUGAUGAUAUGGAUUAACACGUUGAUGGCCGUGCGGUUGAAGCUGAAGGCGUUAUCGAGUUCUGUUGAUUCUGUGUUGCUGUGUUGCUGUGUAA
Vicia villosa (hairy vetch) is the source of this 2295-nucleotide long non-coding RNA. RefSeq lists it as uncharacterized. The transcript has 10 exons. NCBI's taxonomy places the organism in Eukaryota, Viridiplantae, Streptophyta, Magnoliopsida, Fabales, Fabaceae. The record is from RefSeq and is a predicted model, not a curated record.